Molecule: ribosomal RNA, 533 nt
Filed under: uncultured bacterium
Lineage: Bacteria
Description: bacterial SSU rRNA
Rfam family: Bacterial small subunit ribosomal RNA
Source: RNAcentral
GGCCUUGACAUACUAAGAACUUUCCAGAGAUGGAUUGGUGCCUUCGGGAACUUAGAUACAGGUGCUGCAUGGCUGUCGUCAGCUCGUGUCGUGAGAUGUUGGGUUAAGUCCCGCAACGAGCGCGACCCUUUUCCUUAUUUGCCAGCGGGUCAUGCCGGGAACUUUAAGGAUACUGCCAGUGACAAACUGGAGGAAGGCGGGGACGACGUCAAGUCAUCAUGGCCCUUACGGCCAGGGCUACACACGUGCUACAAUGGUCGGUACAAAGGGUUGCUACCUCGCGAGAGGAUGCUAAUCUCAAAAAGCCGAUCGUAGUCCGGAUCGCAGUCUGCAACUCGACUGCGUGAAGUCGGAAUCGCUAGUAAUCGCGGAUCAGAAUGCCGCGGUGAAUACGUUCCCGGGCCUUGUACACACCGCCCGUCACACCAUGGGAGUUUGUUGCACCAGAAGUAGGUAGUCUAACCGCAAGGAGGACGCUUACCACGGUGUGGCCGAUGACUGGGGUGAAGUCGUAACAAGGUAAGCGUAGAUGA